Molecule: small nucleolar RNA, 107 nt
Organism: Cynara cardunculus var. scolymus (artichoke)
Lineage: Eukaryota; Viridiplantae; Streptophyta; Magnoliopsida; Asterales; Asteraceae
Source: RefSeq, a predicted model, not a curated record
AUUCCGUGGUGAAGACAUUUCCGUAGAAGGUCCUUGAAUCUCUCCCAUGCGUCUGAUACCACUUCAUCGUCUUCUUGAUGAAACGUCAUCAUUUCAUUUUUAAUUUU